This 701-nucleotide ribosomal RNA is filed under the name uncultured bacterium. RNAcentral describes it as "bacterial SSU rRNA". It matches the Rfam family "Bacterial small subunit ribosomal RNA", at positions 8 to 692 of the family's 1533-position model. The record is from RNAcentral.
AGAGUUUGAUCAUGGCUCAGGACGAACGCUGGCGGCAUGCCUAAUACAUGCAAGUCGAACGAUGAAUCUCUCUGCUUGCAGAGAGAGGAAGAGUGGCGAACGGGUGAGUAACACGUGAGGAACUUGCCCAUAAGUGGGGGAUAACAUCCGGAAACGGGUGCUAAUACCGCAUACGUAACAUAGUCGCAUGAUUGUGUUAUAAAAGGUGGCUUUGCUACCGCUUAUGGAUAGCCUCGCGGCGCAUUAGCUAGUUGGUGGGGUAAAGGCCUACCAAGGCGAUGAUGCGUAGCCGACUUGAGAGGGUGAUCGGCCACACUGGGACUGAGACACGGCCCGGACUCCUACGGGAGGCAGCAGUAGGGAAUCUUCCACAAUGGGUGCAAGCCUGAUGGAGCAAUGCCGCGUGAGUGAAGAAGGACUUCGGUUCGUAAAGCUCUGUUGUUAGAGAAGAACAAGGAUAGGAGUAACUGUCUAUUCCUUGACGGUACCUAACCAGAAAGUCACGGCUAACUACGUGCCAGCAGCCGCGGUAAUACGUAGGUGACAAGCGUUGUCCGGAUUUAUUGGGCGUAAAGCGAGCGCAGGCGGUUCCUUAAGUCUGAUGUGAAAGCCCACGGCUUAACCGUGGAAUGGCAUUGGAAACUGGGGAGCUUGAAUAUAGAAGAGGAAAGUGGAAUUCCAGUGUAGCGGUGGAAUGCGUA